This 205-nucleotide long non-coding RNA is filed under the name Vitis vinifera (wine grape). RNAcentral describes it as "long non-coding RNA (VVIN_LNC003300)". The record is from RNAcentral. Lineage: Eukaryota; Viridiplantae; Streptophyta; Magnoliopsida; Vitales; Vitaceae.
AUUUUUGUUCGAUCAAACUAAAGGGUAAUAAUUUAUGUUGAACCCAUAUUUUUUUCAGUCUUAUUCGAUAGAUCAAACUUCAAUCACAUCUAUGGAUCUUCAUGAUUUUCGAAAGAAAUCUCAACCAUUAAAUGGGGUUUAAAACCCUAAUAUUUAAGCCUUAUUUCUAGAUGAGGAAGAGAUGACUGUGACAAUGAGAAACCCU